RNAcentral lists this ribosomal RNA (1364 nucleotides) under uncultured marine bacterium. Its description in RNAcentral is "bacterial SSU rRNA". It matches the Rfam family "Bacterial small subunit ribosomal RNA", at positions 27 to 1393 of the family's 1533-position model. The record is from RNAcentral.
GGAUGAACGCUAGCGGCAGGCUUAACACAUGCAAGUCGAGGGGUAACAUUGUAGCUUGCUACAGAUGACGACCGGCGCACGGGUGCGUAACGCGUAUAGAACCUACCUUUUACAGAGGGAUAGCCUUUAGAAAUGAAGAUUAAUACCUUAUAGUAUUGAGACUUGGCAUCAAGUUUUAAUUAAAGAUUUAUCGGUAAAAGAUGGCUAUGCGUCCUAUUAGUUAGUUGGUAAGGUAACGGCUUACCAAGACAUCGAUAGGUAGGGGUCCUGAGAGGGAGAUCCCCCACACUGGUACUGAGACACGGACCAGACUCCUACGGGAGGCAGCAGUGAGGAAUAUUGGACAAUGGAGGCAACUCUGAUCCAGCCAUGCCGCGUGUAGGAAGAAUGCCCUAUGGGUUGUAAACUACUUUUAUACAGGAAGAAACACUGGUAUGUAUACCAGCUUGACGGUACUGUAAGAAUAAGGACCGGCUAACUCCGUGCCAGCAGCCGCGGUAAUACGGAGGGUCCGAGCGUUAUCCGGAAUCAUUGGGUUUAAAGGGUCCGCAGGCGGUCUAUUAAGUCAGAGGUGAAAUCCCAUAGCUCAACUAUGGAACUGCCUUUGAUACUGGUUGACUUGAGUCAUAUGGAAGUGGAUAGAAUGUGUAGUGUAGCGGUGAAAUGCAUAGAUAUUACACAGAAUACCGAUUGCGAAGGCAGUCCACUACGUAUGUACUGACGCUGAGGGACGAAAGCGUGGGGAGCGAACAGGAUUAGAUACCCUGGUAGUCCACGCCGUAAACGAUGGAUACUAGUUGUUGGGAUUUAUCUCAGUGACUAAGCGAAAGUGAUAAGUAUCCCACCUGGGGAGUACGGUCGCAAGACUGAAACUCAAAGGAAUUGACGGGGGCCCGCACAAGCGGUGGAGCAUGUGGUUUAAUUCGAUGAUACGCGAGGAACCUUACCAGGGCUUAAAUGUAGUAUGACCGGCUUAGAAAUAGGCCUUCUCUUCGGAGCAGAUUACAAGGUGCUGCAUGGUUGUCGUCAGCUCGUGCCGUGAGGUGUUAGGUUAAGUCCCGCAACGAGCGCAACCCCUAUUCUUAGUUGCCAGCGGUUCGGCCGGGGACUCUAAGAAGACUGCCAGCGCAAGCUGAGAGGAAGGUGGGGAUGACGUCAAAUCAUCACGGCCCUUACGUCCUGGGCUACACACGUGCUACAAUGGUAGAGACAGAGGGCAGCCACCUGGUGACAGGGAGCGAAUCCUUAAACUCUAUCUCAGUUCGGAUCGAAGUCUGCAACUCGACUUCGUGAAGCUGGAAUCGCUAGUAAUCGCGCAUCAGCCAUGGCGCGGUGAAUACGUUCCCGGGCCUUGUACACACCGC